UACGUAGGGUGCGAGCGUUGUCCGGAAUUAUUGGGCGUAAAGAGCUCGUAGGCGGUCUGUCGCGUCGAUUGUGAAAACUUGGGGCUUAACCCUGAGCUUGCGGUCGAUACGGGCAUGACUGGAGUUCGGCAGGGGAGACUGGAAUUCCUGGUGUAGCGGUGAAAUGCGUAGAGAUCGGGAGGAACACCCGUGGCGAAGGCGGCUCACUGGGCCGGUCCUGACGCUGAGGUGCGAAAGCGUGGGGAGCAAACAGG
Molecule: ribosomal RNA, 254 nt
Filed under: uncultured bacterium
Lineage: Bacteria
Description: partial 16S ribosomal RNA
Rfam family: Bacterial small subunit ribosomal RNA
Source: RNAcentral